AGUGAACGCUGGCGGCAGGCCUAACACAUGCAAGCCGAACGGCCGCACCGUAAGCGCUUGCUCUUACGGGUGGCGAGUGGCGGACGAGUGACGCAUACAUCGGAAUCUACUUUUUCGUGGGUGAUAACGUAGGGAAACUUACGCUAACACCGCACACGACCUACGGGUGAAAUCAGGGGAUCUCCGCACCCUGCCCGAUUGACUGCGCUGAUGCCGGAUUAGCUAGUUGGCGGGGUAACGGCCCACCAAGGCGACGAUCCGUAGCCGGCCUGAGAGGAUGAUCAGCCACACUGGAACUGAGACACGGUCCAGACUCCUACGGGAGGCAGCAGUGGGGAAUAUUGGACAAUGGGCGCAAGCCUGACCCAGCCAUACCGCGUGAGUGAAGAAGGCCUUCGGGUUGUAAAGCCCUUUUGUUGGGAAAGAAAAGCAGCAGGAUAAUACCCCGCCGUUCUGACGGUACCCAAAGAAUAAGCACCGGCUAACUUCGUG
This 492-nucleotide ribosomal RNA is filed under the name uncultured bacterium. RNAcentral describes it as "partial 16S ribosomal RNA". It matches the Rfam family "Bacterial small subunit ribosomal RNA", at positions 29 to 507 of the family's 1533-position model. The record is from RNAcentral.